Gallus gallus (chicken) is the source of this 1404-nucleotide long non-coding RNA. The record is from Ensembl. Lineage: Eukaryota; Metazoa; Chordata; Aves; Galliformes; Phasianidae.
AAAACAUUGAAUUAACACUUGUUACACAUGAGUCACUGUGAGAGUGCAGAGGCUGCACUAAAUAGUACGACAUAAUAUGCAAAAAUAAGCAGCUUAGCUUCACGUGGAGCUGCCCUCUGUGGACGCUCAAAGUAUUUAUAGCUGCCCUUGGGCCCAGGAGAGUUGAAUAGUUCAGGUUUGUUUUAAGGGUUUCCAGUGACCCCUCAAUCUAAUUCUGGUGAUGUUUAAUAUUACUGGCAAGUGCUAAUUAUACCACUUGCAGUUCUUUGGGCAAGCGGGGAGGUGUUCUCCCAUGCUCAGAGAGCACAUUUUUCUCAUCCGGGACUUAAGAUCUAGGUGACUUCUGCCUGGGUGCAACACUUUUGUCACCCUUUGACUGUGAGGUGCUAUGGCUAUCAGCGUGCAGCAGUAGCUCACAGUUGUGUGGGCCUUACCCUCUGAGGGUGGGAGGAAACUGUGUUUUGCAGAGUACUGGAGUAGGCUGAGUUGUUUAGUAACUGAUAUGGCAUUGCAGGGAGCCAAAGUCAGCCUUCAGCUGCAGCCAUUGCUUCUUGCAGGGCUCCUUCCUGUCCCAUCACAGGGGGAUGUGUGUCUGCAGCUUUGUGUCUUUCUGCAGAGCAAACAUCAAAUCUCUGCAGCUGGAACAUCUUGCAGCGUGUCCCUACUGCAGCUGUUAUUGCACGUGCACAGCUGUUGAGAGGCUUGGUCUAAAGCCUGUGGCUUGCUCUGUUCCUUCCAGCUCAGCCUUGUCCUUGUUUUACAGUAGGCUGACCCCUGAAUGCCUUCAGUUUUCUGGGGCUUUAAGGCCUGCUCUGUUUUUUGCAUGAAUUAAUGUAGCUUUACCUUUGGCAACAGCAGAGGGAGCUGCCAGAAGUCUUGCAUAGCAUUUGAAAUGUCAGCUGCCUGUCAUGAGUGUCUGCCAGGACUGCAGCUUUGGCAGGGUCAGUGUUAGUGUGGACACAGCAUGAAUCAGACUGGGCAGGAACUUGUGUACAGAGUAUCCUGAGACUGGUAAAACACCUGAAAUUUCCCACCAAGUUAUUUGGUGUGUUGCUCAGGUAAUAUACAAGGAAACACUGCUGGCUCUUGACUGAACCAGAAUCAUAGGCUGUUCUGCAUUCAGACUUGAAUUUUGUUUCAGGAAUGAAGAGGUUAAUGAAGCCUGAACUACCUCGUGAAGACAUUCCUGUUCUUGUCAGCCUUGGCGUUAUUGUAAUUGUCAGCAAUCACCAACAAGUCAAAGAGCUGAAAUAAGAUGAAACAAAUUUUCAGAGUUCCUUCUGUCUGCCGCUCAGGAGUAAUGGCAAUUCUAUAGUGCUUCUUUUGAAAGUUGAAAUGACAGCUGUUAGUAAAUAGUUUACCAACAUUUCCUGUGUUUGAAUGAAUAAAAGUGUUCAUAAAAAC